Molecule: ribosomal RNA, 443 nt
Filed under: uncultured bacterium
Lineage: Bacteria
Description: partial 16S ribosomal RNA
Rfam family: Bacterial small subunit ribosomal RNA
Source: RNAcentral
CCUACGGGAGGCAGCAGUGGGGAAUAUUGGGCAAUGGGCGCAAGCCUGACCCAGCAACGCCGCGUGAAGGAAGAAGGCUUUCGGGUUGUAAACUUCUUUUAUCAGGGACGAAGCAAGUGACGGUACCUGAUGAAUAAGCCACGGCUAACUACGUGCCAGCAGCCGCGGUAAUACGUAGGUGGCAAGCGUUAUCCGGAUUUACUGGGUGUAAAGGGGGUGUAGGCGGGAGUGCAAGUCAGAUGGGAAAACUAUGGGAUCAACCCAUAGCCUGCAUUUGAAACUGUACUUCUUGAGUGCUGGAGAGGCAAUCGGAAUGCCGUGUGUAGCGGUGAAAUGCAUAGAUAUCACACAGAACACCGAUUGCGAAGGCAUCUCACGAAUCCGCGAUUGACGCUGAUGCACGAAAGCGUGGGUAUCAAACAGGAUUAGAUACCCCUGUAGUC